CCGAUGAGGUGGAAACGGACAGAGCUGGCGUAUCUGGUCUGCAUUCACCCGUUUGUUGCUGUACGUUGRGCUGCUAGCCUCCAGACUGGGGUUGGCUGUCCUUCUGUUCAGUGGCGAAUGGGGCAUUUGCAGGCGGAGUGCGCUGAGAUGCUCGGAGUAGCUGCGUGAGCUCGGUCUUGAGGCCAGCCUUUCGGGGUCUGGUACCCGGAUCGGGGGAGUGCUGUUUACUCUGGGUGAAUUGUGCAAUGGUUUCGGGUCCGKGUUGGCUCGAGCUGGGGGUCGGUGGCGGUCGCGUGCGACACGUACCAGCAACCAGUUCGGUCCAGCUCGGGCUCUCAGUUGUGCGUUCUCGGUGUAAAAGCCGGYYAUCUGUUCGACCCGUCUUGAAACACGGACCAAGGAGUUUAGCGUAUGCGCAAGUCAUUGGGUGUUCAAAACCCAAAGGCGCAAUGAAAGUGAAGGCUUCUUACGGAGCUGAUGUGUGAUCCCUGGCACUGCGGGUGUUGGGGCGCAACAUAGUCCCGUCUCGAUCGCAUGCGAUGGGGGCGGAGACAGAGCGUAUGCGCUGAGACCCGAAAGAUGGUGAACUAUUCCUGAGC
Molecule: ribosomal RNA, 599 nt
Filed under: Heterodera schachtii
Lineage: Eukaryota; Metazoa; Nematoda; Chromadorea; Rhabditida; Heteroderidae
Description: eukaryotic LSU rRNA
Rfam family: Eukaryotic large subunit ribosomal RNA
Source: RNAcentral